RNAcentral lists this ribosomal RNA (460 nucleotides) under uncultured bacterium. RNAcentral's name for it is "partial 16S ribosomal RNA". It matches the Rfam family "Bacterial small subunit ribosomal RNA", at positions 338 to 795 of the family's 1533-position model. The record is from RNAcentral.
CCUACGGGAGGCAGCAGUGAGGAAUAUUGGUCAAUGGCCGGAAGGCUGAACCAGCCAUGCCGCGUGAAGGUCAGUGCCCUAUGGGCGUUAAACUUCUUUUGUGCGGGAGCAAUAAUGGUCACGUGUGGCCAGACGAGAGUACCGUACGAAUAAGCAUCGGCUAACUCCGUGCCAGCAGCCGCGGGAAUACGGGGGAUGCAAGCGUUAUCCGGAUUUAUUGGGUUUAAAGGGUGCGUAGGCUGUGAGGUAAGUCAGCGGUGAAAUGCCCCCGCUCAACGGGGUGAAGUGCCAUUGAUACUGCCUGGCUGGAAUGCGGAUGCCGUGGGAGGAAUGUGUGGUGGAGCGGUGAAAUGCAUAGAUAUCACACAGAACACCGAUUGCGAAGGCAUCUCACGAAUCCGCGAUUGACGCUGAUGCACGAAAGCGUGGGUAUCAAACAGGAUUAGAUACCCCGGUAGUC